Molecule: non-coding RNA, 102 nt
Organism: Vibrio vulnificus YJ016
Lineage: Bacteria; Pseudomonadati; Pseudomonadota; Gammaproteobacteria; Vibrionales; Vibrionaceae
Source: Rfam
AUUCCAGAGGUGACGUGACGAUGUCGCGUCACUCCGGCAGCAAGCGAAGGUGUCAUUGACACCCGUGGUAUAGUCCCCCCGGCUAUACCACGAUAUUUUUUU